Cinara cedri is the source of this 310-nucleotide non-coding RNA. NCBI's taxonomy places the organism in Eukaryota, Metazoa, Arthropoda, Insecta, Hemiptera, Aphididae. The record is from the annotation of a GenBank genome assembly.
UAUUAUUUCAUAGGUCAAACGAUUUAAUUCCCGUAUUUAACCACACACCUUAUGAUUCUCCACCGUUAAGUUGUGGUGAAUCUUUUGAGACAAUUACAAAUUUUAUGGUGGAACGCAACAAUUGGUCAGAAAAAAAUGUAAGUGAAUUCAAUAUUUCAAUUUAAUUUGCUAUAAAAUACAUGUUAAUCAACAUACCUUUUGUCGUAGAUAUAGAUUCCUCUCUGUAUCCUACCUUCCAAACUUCCCAUCUACAACAAUGUCUGCAUCUACGUGCGAAGUAUGUCCGUCCUUUUGAUUAUUAUUGAUACUA